RNA transcript from Diceros bicornis minor, 792 nucleotides. It is a transcript of the gene named ral guanine nucleotide dissociation stimulator-like 3, with no coding region annotated. The transcript is spliced from 2 exons. The record is from RefSeq and is a predicted model, not a curated record. NCBI's taxonomy places the organism in Eukaryota, Metazoa, Chordata, Mammalia, Perissodactyla, Rhinocerotidae.
GAGAUUUCUGCCUACUCCACCUGGAGGGGUGAGGGCCAGAACAAUGAUGACAGUCUUGUGACACUGAGUCCUCAUGAGAACCUGUGUGGUAGCCGGAGUUCUCACACUUUCCAGAUGAGGAAACAGGCUCAAGGAGGCCAGGCCACAAGCCCAAGCUCACACCCAGAGUGAGAGUUGGAGCUGGUCUUGUUCUGGAAUCACAAGACCUUAGAGGAUGGAAUGGCAUUGGUACCAGUUGACUCAAGUCAGAUGUCCAGUGUCGGAGGCCAGUGGUGCUGGAGAGAAAUGGGGUGAGGGGAGUAUGGCCUCACUGACACUGUCCUCGACCCUGACAAGAGGGGCCCUCCACGUUUGCUCCCCCAGAGAGCAACCCCCAGAGAGUGCAGGAGAAACAGCAGCAGCAGCAGGGGAAUGGGAUCAACCUUGAGAAGAGGACUGAGGAGCAGCAGUGGCACUCCCUGCAGGGGAGAAGAAAGAGGUGGAAAUCAGAGACCUUCUGGGCAGAACAGUCCUUGGCUCCACCCGCUGUAUCUUACAUUGAAUGGAAGAGUUUGAUACCAGAGAAGUGGGAGACCCAUCCAAUUGGCGGGUGGGUUGAGGGGAGGAUGGCAUCAAGGAAAUCUUCCUGGAGGAGGGGCUGAUUAUUCCCAUUCUGAGAACUGGUAGAUCCUGGAUGGAACUGGAGGGAAAGAGGGUUUCCAGGACUGGUCCCCGGCCCCGCUCCUCACCUCCAACAAGACCCCUGCAGCAUCCCCCACCCAGGCCCUGUCUGCAUCUUCUCCUUCCCUCUGG